AUACGUAGGGUGCAAGCGUUAAUCGGAAUUACUGGGCGUAAAGCGUGCGCAGGCGGUUUUGUAAGACCGUGGUGAAAUCCCCGGGCUCAACCCGGGAACUGCCAUUGUGACUGCAAGGCUGGAGUGCGGCAGAGGGGGAUGGAAUUCCGCGGGUAGGAGGGAAAUGCGUAGAUAUGCGGAGGAACACCGAUGGCGAAGGCAAUCCCCUGGGCCUGCACUGACGCUCAUGCACGAAAGCGUGGGGAGCAAACAGGAUUAGAUACCCUGGUAGUCCACGCCCUAAACGAUGUCAACUGGUUGUUGGGGAUUUAUUUUCUCAGUAACGAAGCUAACGCGUGAAGUUGACCGCCUGGGGAGUACGGCCGCAAGGUUAAAACUUAAAGGAAUUGACGGGG
Molecule: ribosomal RNA, 395 nt
Filed under: uncultured bacterium
Lineage: Bacteria
Description: partial 16S ribosomal RNA
Rfam family: Bacterial small subunit ribosomal RNA
Source: RNAcentral